CUUUUCUUUUCUCUUUCCUCUCCUUCAAACUUUGUUAAAGAGGAAUACCAGACGUGUAUAUAUAUAUACACACACGCAUAUUCUGAAUUACGUCUUCAGCGCUCGCUGCGUAAAAUUUCUUUCCUUUAUUAUCAAUUAAACCAAAGAAAUACGCUUUGUACAGCAGUAGUAUUUUCGUUUAUAUUCAAUGAAUGAAAGGUGACUCGCUGACGGUUCUUAUGCAGCACGCUACAGGAUUAAAAAAAGAAAAAAGAAGUUACUUUUAGCCCGAGGAAUAAAAGUUGUGACAACAGUUCCUCGAAGUUAUUACCCAAUGUCUAACUAAAGAUGAUAAUUAACGUACAACGCAAAGAGAGACAGAACAAUGAAUUUCCGCUGAUUUUUUUUUAUAGACUCAGGCUAUUAAUUCUCUUAGAAAUAAGAUAACGAGUUGGGGUUUGUCUGAUCCCCGCGUGUCCUCAGGUGUGUCCUGACAAGUGGCAAGGACACGACGCGUCUCCCACAGCUCCGACAAGACGUUUUUGUGCACCCGCUAAGGUAUGCCCGUACCCCGUGGCAGAGUGGCAUAAAAAUGCUCUAAAGAAUAAAAAACGACGAGGAACCUGCAUUCUUUUUCCUGUACUCUCCUUUUUCUUUGCCAUUUCUAAUCCUCACUCACCAGAUUCUGUAUCGUAAACGUUUCCCUUUUACGAGUUAAUAGAUAUAAACAUUGCAUAUGUGUAAAGGUAUCCAGUCGAUGUUUCGGAUGAACGUUUUUUUUUUUUUUUUUCUUUUAGGAAAGGAAGCACACAAAGGCAGGCAAAACGAGAAGGAUAAAUUAGAAGGGUACACGCAAGACCUCCUGCAGGACAGUUUGGCAUGCAUCAGUGCGCUGGCGCAGGAACAGGCAAUCACGUACGACUAUAUAAACACGUCAUUAAUGCCGAAACUCGGACGAGCCUCAUAACUGAUAACCGUUAUGUAGAUGUAAUUAGUCCCAUACAACGCGAUAAUAACGGCUCAUUCUGCAAGAACCGUAUCGAGCUAGUUUCCACUUCUAACACUGUUCGCUGUGUGCUGCGUUUCUUGGAAGUUGACGACCUGCAUUGUUUAUUGUAGUCUCUUUUGAAUAUUUAGUCACGAUUCUGGUAUAUAGAAUUACUAGCCAGCUGUCGAUUGAUAUCUCUUGAUUUACGUAGAAAAUAUAUAGACUAUAUAUAUAUAUACAUUAAAAAAAAACACAUAAGAGUUACAAAAUAUAGAAAAAUAUACACAUCGUUACAUACUUACCUGCCGAAAACCUCUAAUUAUCUCCUAGAUAAUGGCACAAAAUGUUGGUGUUUGCUAACAUUCUGCUUAAUUUCGGCACAAGUCGCAAGUGUUCUGACAUUCUGCUUAAUUUUUCGGGCACAAGUCGCGAGUGUUCUGACAUUCUGCUUAAUUUUUCGGGCACAAGUCGCGAGUGUUCUGCCAUUCUGCUUAAUUUUUCGGGCAUAAGUUCGGUUUAUUAUUACGAACUGUAUUCCUCGAAAAGAACGGAUGCUAGAAACAGACUGUCCAUUUUUCUUGCAAAGACAGCAUCUUAAAUGACAAGACACCAUAUGUAAUGGUUUGCAUAUGCUAAGAAAUCCAAUCCCGUAGCGUCGGCGUCGGAAGUGUUUUCAAAAACCUUUCCCCCCUUCUUCGAUAACCCCGUUUUCUUUAUUUUUUGAAGUAGAACGGCUUAUAAGACACUCUCUGUGCUAUUGUUCGAUUCAUUAAUCUGUGGAUCAUUUCUUUUUACCGUCCAGCCUUCGAUCGAUACUUAGAAAAAUAAAACACGCUAGGCAUAAGUUACAAAGCAACCCACGUGUGUGUGUGUGUGUGUGUGUGUGUGUGUGUGUGUGUCCCCUACAAAGGUUAUUAAAAUUAAUGACAUUAACAA
This 1903-nucleotide long non-coding RNA is filed under the name Androctonus crassicauda. The record is from RNAcentral. Lineage: Eukaryota; Metazoa; Arthropoda; Arachnida; Scorpiones; Buthidae.